RNAcentral lists this ribosomal RNA (497 nucleotides) under uncultured bacterium. RNAcentral describes it as "partial 16S ribosomal RNA". It matches the Rfam family "Bacterial small subunit ribosomal RNA", at positions 28 to 507 of the family's 1533-position model. The record is from RNAcentral.
GAUGAACGCUGGCGGCGUGCCUAAUACAUGCAAGUCGAGCGAACAGACGAGGAGCUUGCUCCUCUGACGUUAGCGGCGGACGGGUGAGUAACACGUGGAUAACCUACCUAUAAGACUGGGAUAACUUCGGGAAACCGGAGCUAAUACCGGAUAAUAUAUUGAACCGCAUGGUUCAAUAGUGAAAGACGGUUUUGCUGUCACUUAUAGAUGGAUCCGCGCCGCAUUAGCUAGUUGGUAAGGUAACGGCUUACCAAGGCAACGAUGCGUAGCCGACCUGAGAGGGUGAUCGGCCACACUGGAACUGAGACACGGUCCAGACUCCUACGGGAGGCAGCAGUAGGGAAUCUUCCGCAAGGGGCGAAAGCCUGACGGAGCAACGCCGCGUGAGUGAUGAAGGUCUUCGGAUCGUAAAACUCUGUUAUUAGGGAAGAACAAAUGUGUAAGUAACUAUGCACGUCUUGACGGUACCUAAUCAGAAAGCCACGGCUAACUACGUG